AACGAACGCUGGCGGCAGGCUUAACACAUGCAAGUCGAACGCCCCGCAAGGGGAGUGGCAGACGGGUGAGUAACGCGUGGGAACGUGCCCCAAGGUACGGAACAACGCCGGGAAACUGGCGCUAAUACCGUAUGUGUCCGCAAGGAGAAAGAUUUAUCGCCUUGGGAUCGGCCCGCGUCGGAUUAGCUAGUUGGUGGGGUAAAGGCCUACCAAGGCGACGAUCCGUAGCUGGUCUGAGAGGACGACCAGCCACACUGGGACUGAGACACGGCCCAGACUCCUACGGGAGGCAGCAGUGGGGAAUCUUGGACAAUGGGCGAAAGCCUGAUCCAGCCAUGCCGCGUGAAUGAUGAAGGCCCUAGGGUUGUAAAAUUCUUUCAGCGGGGAAGAUAAUGACGGUACCCGCAGAAGAAGCCCCGGCUAACUCCGUGCCAGCAGCCGCCGUAACAC
Molecule: ribosomal RNA, 450 nt
Filed under: uncultured bacterium
Lineage: Bacteria
Description: bacterial SSU rRNA
Rfam family: Bacterial small subunit ribosomal RNA
Source: RNAcentral